AUAAGGUAGAGAAAUUGUUGUCUUCCACACUAUUCAGACAUCAGUUUAACUAUCUUUCAA
RNAcentral lists this microRNA precursor (60 nucleotides) under Drosophila yakuba. RNAcentral's name for it is "Dya-Mir-962_pre stem-loop". The record is from RNAcentral. Lineage: Eukaryota; Metazoa; Arthropoda; Insecta; Diptera; Drosophilidae.